CCUACGGGCGGCAGCAGUGAGGAAUAUUGGUCAAUGGGCGAGAGCCUGAACCAGCCAAGUCGCGUGAGGGAGUACUGCCCUAUGGGUUGUAAACCUCUUUUGUCGGGGAGCAAAAGCCGGACGUGUCCGGCUGUGAGAGUACCCGACGAAAAAGCAUCGGCUAACUCCGUGCCAGCAGCCGCGGUAAUACGGAGGAUGCGAGCGUUAUCCGGAUUUAUUGGGUUUAAAGGGUGCGCAGGCGGAUUUUUAAGUCAGCGGUAAAAUCGUGGGGCUCAACCCCAUCCAGCCGUUGAAACUGGGGAUCUAGAGUGUGCGAGAGGUAUGCGGAAUGCGUGGUGUAGCGGUGAAAUGCAUAGAUAUCACGCAGAACCCCGAUUGCGAAGGCAGCAUACCGGUGCACAACUGACGCUCAGGCACGAAAGCGUGGGUAUCGAACAGGAUUAGAUACCCGGGUAGUC
This 458-nucleotide ribosomal RNA is filed under the name uncultured bacterium. RNAcentral's name for it is "partial 16S ribosomal RNA". It matches the Rfam family "Bacterial small subunit ribosomal RNA", at positions 338 to 795 of the family's 1533-position model. The record is from RNAcentral.